AGUAAAUAGAUACCCAGGUAGUCCACGCCGUAAACGAUGAGUACUAGGUGUAGGAGGUAUCGACUCCUUCUGUGCCGCAGUUAAACACAAUAAGUACUCCGCCUGGGAAGUACGGUCGCAAGAUUAAAACUCAAAGGAAUUGACGGGGGCCCGCACAAGCAGCGGAGCAUGUGGUUUAAUUCGAAGCAACGCGAAGAACCUUACCUAGACUUGACAUCCCCUGAAUAACGUAGAGAUACGCGAAGCCCUUCGGGGCAGGGAGACAGGUGGUGCAUGGUUGUCGUCAGCUCGUGUCGUGAGAUGUUGGGUUAAGUCCCGCAACGAGCGCAACCCUUAUCAUUAGUUGCUACCAUUUAGUUGAGCACUCUAGUGAGACUGCCCGGGUUAACCGGGAGGAAGGCGGGGAUGACGUCAAAUCAUCAUGCCCCUUAUGUCUAGGGCUACACACGUGCUACAAUGGUGAGAACAACGAGAUGCAAUACCGCGAGGUGGAGCAAAAACUUCAAAACUCAUCUCAGUUCGGAUUGUAGGCUGAAACUC
This 540-nucleotide ribosomal RNA is filed under the name uncultured bacterium. Its description in RNAcentral is "bacterial SSU rRNA". It matches the Rfam family "Bacterial small subunit ribosomal RNA", at positions 774 to 1313 of the family's 1533-position model. The record is from RNAcentral.